RNAcentral lists this ribosomal RNA (254 nucleotides) under uncultured bacterium. RNAcentral's name for it is "partial 16S ribosomal RNA". It matches the Rfam family "Bacterial small subunit ribosomal RNA", at positions 524 to 776 of the family's 1533-position model. The record is from RNAcentral.
UACGGAGGGAGCAAGCGUUACUCGGAAUUAUUGGGCGUAAAGGGCGCGUAGGCGAUCCGAAUAAGUCUCGUGUGAAAGCCCAGUGCUUAACGCUGGAAGUGCACGGGAAACUGUUGGAUCUGAGUUCCGGAGAGGAAAGCAGGAUUCCCGGUGUAGCGGUGAAAUGCGUAGAUAUCGGGAGGAAUACCAGUGGCGAAGGCGGCCUUCUGGACGGAUACUGACGCUGAGGCGCGAAAGCCAGGGGAGCAAACGGG